GAUGAACGCUGGCGGCGUGCCUAAUACAUGCAAGUCGAGCGAACAGACGAUGCGCUUGCUCCUCUGACGUUAGCGGCGGACGGGUGUGUAACACGUGGAUCACCUCCCUAUCAUACUGAGAUCACUUCGGGACACCGGCGAUUAUCCCGGAUAAUAUAUUGAACCGUAUGGUUCAUUAGUGAAAGACGGUUUUGCUGUCACUUAUAGAUGCUUCCGCGCCUCAUUAUCGAGUUGGUACGGUAACGGCUUACCAAGGCAACGAUGCGUAGCCGAGCUGAGAGGGUGAUCGGCGACAGAGGAAGUGAGACACGGUACAGAGACUGAGGGGAGGCAGCAGUAGGGAAGCUACGGCAAUGGGCGAAAGCUUGAAGGAGCAACGGAGGGUGGGUGAAGAAGGGCUGCGGAUCGUAAAACUCUGUUAUGAGGGAAGAACAAAUGUGUAAGUAACGAUGCACGUCUUGAGGGUACCGAUACAGAAAGCCACGGCUAACUACGU
Molecule: ribosomal RNA, 496 nt
Filed under: uncultured bacterium
Lineage: Bacteria
Description: partial 16S ribosomal RNA
Rfam family: Bacterial small subunit ribosomal RNA
Source: RNAcentral